Molecule: ribosomal RNA, 406 nt
Filed under: uncultured bacterium
Lineage: Bacteria
Description: partial 16S ribosomal RNA
Rfam family: Bacterial small subunit ribosomal RNA
Source: RNAcentral
AUUGAACGCUGGCGGCAGGCCUAACACAUGCAAGUCGAACGAGUGGCGGACGGGUGAGUAAUGUCUGGGAAACUGCCUGAUGGAGGGGGAUAACUACUGGAAACGGUAGCUAAUACCUCAUACCAUCGGAUGUGCCCAGAUGGGAUUAGCUUGUAGGUGGGGUAACGGCUCACCUAGGCGACGAUCACUAGCUGGUCUGAGAGGAUGACCAGCCACACUGGAACUGAGACACGGUCCAGACUCCUAAGGGAGGCAGCAGUGGGGAAUAUUGCACAAUGGGCGCAAGCCUGAUGCAGCCAUGCCGCGGGUGUGAAGAAGGCCUUCGGGUUGUAAAGCACUUUCAGCGGGGAGGCGUUACCCGCAGAAGAAGCACCGGCUAACGCCGUGCCAGCAGCCGCGGUAAUUC